Molecule: ribosomal RNA, 254 nt
Filed under: uncultured bacterium
Lineage: Bacteria
Description: partial 16S ribosomal RNA
Rfam family: Bacterial small subunit ribosomal RNA
Source: RNAcentral
UACGGAGGGGGGCUAGCGUUGUUCGGAAUUACUGGGCGUAAAGCGCACGUAGGCGGCUUUGUAAGUUAGAGGUGAAAGCCCGGGGCUCAACUCCGGAAUUGCCUUUAAGACUGCAUCGCUAGAAUUGUGGAGAGGUAAGUGGAAUUCCGAGUGUAGAGGUGAAAUUCGUAGAUAUUCGGAAGAACACCAGUGGCGAAGGCGGCCCGCUGGGCAGUGGCUGACGCUGAGGCGCGACAGCGUGGGGAGCAAACAGG